RNAcentral lists this ribosomal RNA (253 nucleotides) under uncultured bacterium. Its description in RNAcentral is "partial 16S ribosomal RNA". It matches the Rfam family "Bacterial small subunit ribosomal RNA", at positions 524 to 776 of the family's 1533-position model. The record is from RNAcentral.
UACGUAGGGCGCAAGCGUUGUCCAGAAUUAUUGGGCGUAAAGAGCUCGUAGGCGGCUUGUCACGUCGAUUGUGAAAGCCCGAGGCUUAACCUCGGGUCUGCAGUCGAUACGGGCUAGCUAGAGUGUGGUAGGGGAGAUCGGAAUUCCUGGUGUAGCGGUGAAAUGCGCAGAUAUCAGGAGGAACACCGGUGGCGAAGGCGGAUCUCUGGGCCAUUACUGACGCUGAGGAGCGAAAGCGUGGGGAGCGAACAGG